AUUGAACGCUGGCGGCAGGCCUAACACAUGCAAGUCGAGCGGAUGAAGGGAGCUUGCUCCUGGAUUCCGCGGCGGACGGGUGAGUAAUUCCUAGGAAUCUGCCUGGUAGAGGGGGAUAACGUCCGGAAACGGGCGCUAAUACCGCAUACGUCCUGAGGUAGAAAGUGGGGGAUCUUCGGACCUCACGCUAUCAGAUGAGCCUAGGUCGGAUUAGCUAGUUGGUGGGGUAAAGGCCUACCAAGGCGACGAUCCGUAACUGGUCUGAGAGGAUGAUCAGUCACACUGGAACUGAGACACGGUCCAGACUCCUACGGGAGGCAGCAGUGGGGAAUAUUGGGCAAUGGGCGAAAGCCUGAUCCAGCCAUGCCGCGUGUGUGAAGAAGGUCUUCGGAUUGUAAAGCACUUUAAGUUGGGAAGAAGGGCAGUAAGUGAAUACAUGGCUGUUUUGACGGUACCAACAGAAUAAGCACCGGCUAACUUCGUG
Molecule: ribosomal RNA, 484 nt
Filed under: uncultured bacterium
Lineage: Bacteria
Description: partial 16S ribosomal RNA
Rfam family: Bacterial small subunit ribosomal RNA
Source: RNAcentral